UACGUAGGGUGCAAGCGUUAAUCGGAAUUACUGGGCGUAAAGCGUGCGCAGGCGGUUAUGUAAGACAGAUGUGAAAUCCCCGGGCUCAACCUGGGAACUGCAUUUGUGACUGCAUAGCUAGAGUACGGUAGAGGGGGAUGGAAUUCCGCGUGUAGCAGUGAAAUGCGUAGAUAUGCGGAGGAACACCGAUGGCGAAGGCAAUCCCCCUGGACCUGUACUGACGCUCAUGCACGAAAGCGUGGGGAGCAAACGAGG
This 255-nucleotide ribosomal RNA is filed under the name uncultured bacterium. Its description in RNAcentral is "partial 16S ribosomal RNA". It matches the Rfam family "Bacterial small subunit ribosomal RNA", at positions 524 to 777 of the family's 1533-position model. The record is from RNAcentral.